GAUGAACGCUGGCGGCGUGCUUAACACAUGCAAGUCGAGCGAGAAGUUUCGAAAAGAUUCUUCGGAUGGAAUGUCAAAUGGAAAGCGGCGGACGGGUGAGUAACGCGUAGGCAACCUGCCCCCUACAAAGGGAUAGCACUUGGAAAGGAAUAUUAAUACCGUAUGAUACUUAACUAGUGCAUGCUAGGUAGGUCAAAGAUUUAUCGGUGUUGGAUGGGCCUGCGUGUGAUUAGCUAGUUGGUGAGGUAACGGCUCACCAAGUGGACGAUAAGUGGCCGGCCUGGGAGGCUGAACAGAUUGGUUGGGACUGAGACACGGUACAAACACCGGCGGGAGGAGGCAGGGGGGAUGAUCAAUAGAUGGAGGAAUGACUGAGGCAGGAAGGGCGCGGGAAGAAGGACUGCCUUUGGGUAACAGAGUUCUCUUCUAACGAAGGAUGAGUGACGGUAACCGAUAAAAAAGCACCGGCUAACUACGUG
This 479-nucleotide ribosomal RNA is filed under the name uncultured bacterium. RNAcentral's name for it is "partial 16S ribosomal RNA". It matches the Rfam family "Bacterial small subunit ribosomal RNA", at positions 28 to 507 of the family's 1533-position model. The record is from RNAcentral.